RNAcentral lists this ribosomal RNA (253 nucleotides) under uncultured bacterium. Its description in RNAcentral is "partial 16S ribosomal RNA". It matches the Rfam family "Bacterial small subunit ribosomal RNA", at positions 524 to 776 of the family's 1533-position model. The record is from RNAcentral.
UACGUAGGUGGCAAGCGUUGUCCGGAAUUACUGGGUGUAAAGCGCGUGUAGGCGGGAGGCCAAGUCUGCUGUGAAAUCGCCCGGCUCAACUGGGCGGGGUCGGUGGAAACUGGUCACCUGGAGGACGGUAGAGGCGAGUGGAAUUCCCGGUGUAGUGGUGAAAUGCGUAGAGAUCGGGAGGAACACCAGUGGCGAAGGCGGCUAUCUGGACGGUUUCUGACGCUAAGACGCGAAAGCGUGGGGAGCAAACAGG